CUUUGUGUAAUUACUGUAGCAGGCUACAAUUCCCUUAGAAUAUUUCAGCGAUUAUCGAUAACAAUAACUGUUAAUUUCGGUGGCGAUUCGACUCAAGUUUCGUACAUGUCACGUACUAUCGCGACAUGUCAUGAAGAUGGCGGUUGCUCGUAGCGAACCUAACGAGCUGGGGCCUCGGGCCCCAUCAACAGUAUCCUAGUACGGCAGG
This 208-nucleotide long non-coding RNA is filed under the name Volvox carteri. Its description in RNAcentral is "long non-coding RNA (VCAR_LNC002673)". Lineage: Eukaryota; Viridiplantae; Chlorophyta; Chlorophyceae; Chlamydomonadales; Volvocaceae. The record is from RNAcentral.